RNAcentral lists this ribosomal RNA (679 nucleotides) under Escherichia coli. RNAcentral describes it as "partial 23S ribosomal RNA". It matches the Rfam family "Bacterial large subunit ribosomal RNA", at positions 1 to 714 of the family's 2925-position model. The record is from RNAcentral. Lineage: Bacteria; Pseudomonadati; Pseudomonadota; Gammaproteobacteria; Enterobacterales; Enterobacteriaceae.
GGGUUGUGAGGUUAAGCGACUAAGCGUACACGGUGGAUGCCCUGGCAGUCAGAGGCGAUGAAGGACGUGCUAAUCUGCGAUAAGCGUCGGUAAGGUGAUAUGAACCGUUAUAACCGGCGAUUUCCGAAUGGGGAAACCCAGUGUGUUUCGUCACACUAUCAUUAACUGAAUCCAUAGGUUAAUGAGGCGAACCGGGGGAACUGAAACAUCUAAGUACCCCGAGGAAAAGAAAUCAACCGAGAUUCCCCCAGUAGCGGCGAGCGAACGGGGAGCAGCCCAGAGCCUGAAUCAGUGUGUGUGUUAGUGGAAGCGUCUGGAAAGGCGCGCGAUACAGGGUGACAGCCCCGUACACAAAAAUGCAUAUACUGUGAGCUCGAUGAGUAGGGCGGGACACGUGGUAUCCUGUCUGAAUAUGGGGGGACCAUCCUCCAAGGCUAAAUACUCCUGACUGACCGAUAGUGAACCAGUACCGUGAGGGAAAGGCGAAAAGAACCCCGGCGAGGGGAGUGAAAAAGAACCUGAAACCGUGUACGUACAAGCAGUGGGAGCCUCUUUAUGGGGUGACUGCGUACCUUUUGUAUAAUGGGUCAGCGACUUAUAUUCUGUAGCAAGGUUAACCGAAUAGGGGAGCCGAAGGGAAACCGAGUCUUAACUGGGCGUUAAGUUGCAGGGUAUAGAC